RNAcentral lists this ribosomal RNA (468 nucleotides) under uncultured bacterium. Its description in RNAcentral is "partial 16S ribosomal RNA". It matches the Rfam family "Bacterial small subunit ribosomal RNA", at positions 28 to 507 of the family's 1533-position model. The record is from RNAcentral.
GACGAACGCUGGCGGCGUGCUUAACACAUGCAAGUCGAACGGAAAGACCCUGCUUUUGUGGGGUGCUCGAGUGGCGAACGGGUGAGUAACACGUGAGUAACCUGCCCUUGACUUUGGGAUAACUUCAGGAAACUGGGGCUAAUACCGGAUAGGAGCUCCUGCUGCAUGGUGGGGGUUGGAAAGUUUCGGCGGUUGGGGAUGGACUCGCGGCUUAUCAGCUUGUUGGUGGGGUAGUGGCUUACCAAGGCUUUGACGGGUAGCCGGCCUGAGAGGGUGACCGGCCACAUUGGGACUGAGAUACGGGCCAGACUCCUACGGGAGGCAGCAGUGGAGAAUAUUGCACGAUGGGCGGAAGCCUGAUGCAGCGACGCCGCGUGCGGGAUGACGGCCUUCGGGUUGUAAACCGCUUUCGCCUGUGACGAAGCGUGAGUGACGGUAAUGGGUAAAGAAGCACCGGCUAACUACGUG